RNAcentral lists this ribosomal RNA (454 nucleotides) under uncultured bacterium. RNAcentral's name for it is "bacterial SSU rRNA". It matches the Rfam family "Bacterial small subunit ribosomal RNA", at positions 340 to 785 of the family's 1533-position model. The record is from RNAcentral.
UACGGAAGGCAGCAGUAGGGAAUCUUCCGCAAUGGACGAAAGUCUGACGGAGCAACGCCGCGUGAACGAUGAAGGCUUUCGGGUCGUAAAGUUCUGUUGUUAGGGAAGAACAAGUACCGGAGUAACUGCCGGUACCUUGACGGUACCUAACCAGAAAGCCACGGCUAACUACGUGCCAGCAGCCGCGGUAAUACGUAGGUGGCAAGCGUUGUCCGGAAUUAUUGGGCGUAAAGCGCGCGCAGGCGGUCCUUUAAGUCUGAUGUGAAAGCCCACGGCUCAACCGUGGAGGGUCAUUGGAAACUGGGGGACUUGAGUGCAGAAGAGGAGAGUGGAAUUCCACGUGUAGCGGUGAAAUGCGUAGAGAUGUGGAGGAACACCAGUGGCGAAGGCGACUCUCUGGUCUGUAACUGACGCUGAGGCGCGAAAGCGUGGGGAGCGAACAGGGAUUAGACUA